AAGAACUAACUGAUUCAGUGUAACAAAAGUAUAAGACAAGAACGUUCUCUUUCGUUGCUGCUCUUUCACAAACAACAGUAAUUAAUAGCAAGAUAAAAACAUACUAGCAACUGUCCUGUUUCUUCAUAUAUAGCAUUCUUCCUUUGGAGGAUCACCUGUAAGACAGAAACACCGAAGUGGAGGUGCCGUUCCCAAUUUACCUGUGAAGUAAGCAGGCCGGUGUGGCUCCCCUCCUCCCCUCAGAGGGUUGAGCCCCGGAC
Long non-coding RNA from Mauremys mutica (yellowpond turtle), 260 nucleotides. RefSeq lists it as uncharacterized. Lineage: Eukaryota; Metazoa; Chordata; Testudines; Geoemydidae. The record is from RefSeq and is a predicted model, not a curated record. The transcript is spliced from 3 exons.